Molecule: ribosomal RNA, 515 nt
Filed under: uncultured Syndiniales
Lineage: Eukaryota; Dinophyceae; Syndiniales
Description: SSU rRNA
Rfam family: Eukaryotic small subunit ribosomal RNA
Source: RNAcentral
AGUUGUUGCGGUUAAAAGCCCGUAGUUGGAGUUCUGCCAGGUGACGCCCCUCCGCCCAAGUGGUGUGUACAGGGCGUGCAUCUGGCCCCUUCAAGGGGAACGUGUUGCACUUUAUUGUGUGGCGCGAGAUCCUUGACUUUUACUUUGGGGAAAUAAGAGUGUUCCAAGCAGGCUCUCGUCGUGCAUAGCUCAGCAUGGAAUAAUAGCAUUGGACUUCGUUUCUACGCUGUUGGUUGCAAGAAGCGAGGUAAUGAUGAAGAGGGAUAGUUGGGGGCAUUCGUAUUUAACUGUCAGAGGUGAAAUUUUUUUUUUUGUUAAAGACGGACUACUGCGAAAGCAUCUGCCAUGGAUGUUUUCAUUGAUCAAGAACGAAAGUUAGGGGAUCGAAGACGAUCAGAUACCGUCCUAGUCUUAACUAUAAACCAUGCCGGCUAGAGAUCGGAGGUCGUUCAAUUUGUGACACCUUCAGCAUCUUGAGAGAAAUCAAAGCCUUUGGGUUCCGGGGGGAGUAUGGU